Molecule: ribosomal RNA, 467 nt
Filed under: uncultured bacterium
Lineage: Bacteria
Description: partial 16S ribosomal RNA
Rfam family: Bacterial small subunit ribosomal RNA
Source: RNAcentral
GACGAACGCUGGCGGCGUGCUUAACACAUGCAAGUCGAACGGAAAGGCCCUGCUUUUGUGGGGUGCUCGAGUGGCGAACGGGUGAGUAACACGUGAGUAACCUGCCCUUGACUUUGGGAUAACUUCAGGAAACUGGGGCUAAUACCGGAUAGGAGCUCCUGCUGCAUGGUGGGGGUUGGAAAGUUUCGGCGGUUGGGGAUGGACUCGCGGCUUAUCAGCUUGUUGGUGGGGUAGUGGCUUACCAAGGCUUUGACGGGUAGCCGGCCUGAGAGGGUGACCGGGCACAUUGGGAAGGAGAUACGGCCCAGACCCCGACGGGAGGGAGGAGGGGGGAAUAUUGCACAAUGGGCGGAAGCCUGAUGCAGCAACGCCGCGUGGGGGAUGACGGCCUUCGGGGUGGAAACCGCUUUCGCCUGGGACGAAGCGGGAGUGACGGUAAUGGGGAAAGAAGCACCGGCGAACUACGU